UUUUUUUUUGUUUUGUUUUUUUGUUUUUUUGUUCAUUCAUAGAGACACAGAGAGAGGUAGAGACACAGGCAGAGGGAGAAGCAGGCCUCAUGCAGGGAGCCCAACGUGGGACCCAAUCUGGGUCUCCAGGAUCACACCCCAGGCUGCAGGCGGCACCAAACCACUGCGCCACUGGGGCUGCCCCAGAUACUCCUUUUUAACUUUCUUGAUGAUCUCCUUUAAUGCACAAAACUUUAAAAUUCUGAUGAAGUCCAAUUUUUCUAUUCUUUGGUCACUUGUGCUUUCAGUGUCAUGUCAAAGAAAUCGUUAUCUAAUUAAUGAAGGCUUAACAUGAUUUACCCAUAUGUUGUCUUCUAAAUUUAUUAUGGUGGUAGCUCUUAUAUUUAGGUCUUUGACAUUUUUAGUUCAUUUUUAUAUAUGGUGAAGUAGGUGUCCAGUUUCUUCAUUUUGCAUAUAUGAUUGCCCUAUCAUUAUCUGUUGAAAAGAUUGUUCUUUCCCCAUUCAAUGGUCAUGGCACUCUUGCCAGAAUUCAUGGACCAUAAAUACAAAGUUUUAUUUCUGAAUUCUCAAUUCCAUUCCAUUUGUCUAUACAUUUAUCCUUAUGCCUUGAUUAAGCUAUACUUAAUUAUUUGAUAACUGUAACUUUGUAUAAGUUAGAAAUUGCGAGGUAUAAGUCCUCCAGCUAUGUUCUUUUUCAAGAUUGUGUUGGCUAUUUUGGCUCUUUUGCAUUUCCAUGCAAAUUUUAGAAUCAACUUGUUAAUUUCUGCAAAAAAUCCAUCUGGGAUGUUGAUAGUGAUGGUAUUGACUCUAAGUCAACUUGAAGGUGAGCAAGCAAUACAUUUGAUUGUAUUAUUGCAUGCUAUUGGCAAUAAAUUGACUGUAAAUAAUAGAUUAGCUGAUUAGAAAAUGGUUUUGGAGUAACAAGAAAGGAAUUUGUUGGGAUAGUGAGUCAUUUAGUGUGGAGGUCUUUGAAACCUUUGAAUUCUUUUAUCAGAUAUUAGAGCUUCUUUUUGCCCCCAAUUUGGCUUAUAUAUGCAGAUGAUUUAAUUCUGACUCUCAGUACUGUUGUAUUAAAGAUGGUCUUUUCCAUGUUUUAUUAUGAGGUUGAUGUUUUCAAUCAGUCAAAAAACAUUUGAAUGCCUUUCUUUGUAAGGACUAUAGGAAAUUCAGAGUGGCUACUGCUAAGCACUCCAGGAGAAUAAAAGAACUACAACACAAGGUUUUGCCCUCAGGCCCUCUACAGUGUCAUUGUCUCGUGACAAUGAUUAAUUAUGUUUAAGGAAGUGACACCUGUUACUUAUCCUUUUUGCUGACGCAUCAUGAGUGAUCUUGAACAGUUCCCAAGCAAAGAUUUGCCCCUAACCCUCACUUAUUAGGUAAAAAAAUAUUUCAUGAGCAAGAUAGGAUGGCUGUCUCGAUGCAAAUUUACUCACAGCCCUCACCUGGGAAAAAAAUUCAGAGAGCAAUGCCUUAUUCAAUAGUUUCAUAGGUCUACUUUUUUUUUUAUUAUUAAAUAUAUACUGCAACCUUAAAAGAUCUUAAUUUUUAUAAUUUUAAUAUGUUUAUAGCAGAAAUAAAAUUUAUUUUUAAAAUUUGGCUCUGGUAAUUCUGUAUCCUCAUGUUUCCAUGGACGUGGUAUGUGUGUCAUAACUUGUUUUGAAAUAAUUGCAAAUGUACAGAAAAGUUGCCAAAAACAGUGCAAAGAAUUUCCAUGUCAUUUUCACCCAGAUUCUCAUAUAGUUAACAUUUUAUUGCUUCAUUGCUCACUUUAUAUGUGUGUGCAUAUGCACAUGCAUACGUUCUUUUAUUUUUUCUGGACAUUUUGAGGGUUGACAGAGCAAACUAUAGACAUGAUGUUCUAUGACUCCUAAACACUCUGUUGUGUAUUUUCCCCUAAAUAGGGACAGUCUCGUACACAAAAACAACAUUCCAAAUCGGGAAAUCAAUUUUGGUACAGUACCAUCCAAUCCAAAGAGCCCAUUCAAAUUUUCCCGACAAUGUCUCUUCUCUGGUCCAAAAUACCAAAUAGGAAUACAUUUUGCAUUUAGUUGUCAUGUAUUUUCAGACUCCUUUAAUUUGGAAUAGUUCCCCAUCUUUAUGUCUGUAACAGUUUCAAAGAGUACAGCAUUUAUUUUCACUUAUUUGUAGGAUGGCCUACAACCUGAUAGCAGGAAUACCGCAAAAUGAUGCAUUGCUUUUCCCAGUGAAUACCAACAGGAGGCAUGCAGUGUAGACUCCUCCCAACCCUGGUGAUUAACCUUAAUCACAUGAUCUUGUUGGUUUCAUUUUACCAUUUCUCCUUUGUAAUUGAUUAGUACUCCAAAAUAAUGCCAAUAUCCUCUUCUCAAACCUCCUCCCACCAACCUUCAGUGUCCACUGAAGACCCUGCCUGAAUCAUCCAUCUCUGUAAUGGGUGCCAAAGGUAAUUCUCUAUUUCCAUCAUUUCCUCUGCUUUUUUUGGAUUAGCAUUUUACUAUUAGAGCUUUUCUUUCUCUCCAUUUAUUUACAUCAGUGUGAACUUGUAGAUUCCUGUUUUACUCAAUGAAUUGUAAUCCAUUAUUGUUUAUUUUGAUGCCCCAAUUGUCUCUGAUUUGGCCAGUGGGAGCCCCUUCAAGCUGGCUCUUAACAUUGCAGCAUUUGAAAGUAUGUAUAUUAAUAAACAUGGGUCAUUAGAGUUUUAGUUUCCAUUGUGACAUAACAGAGUUUUGACAUUUUGAAGCUUGCCAUUUCAGCUUCACCUAGGAUACUUUACUCCCUUCUGUUAUGGACUGAAUGUCUGUGUCUCCCUAAAGCUCAUAUGUAGAAGCUGUAAUCUUCAUUGUGUCUAAUCUGCAGUAAAGAAGUAAUAAGGGUUUAAUAAACCUUAAUAAGAGUGCAGUCCUGAUCUGAUAGGAUGAGUACCCUUAUAAGAGGAGAUACCAGAAAAUUCUGUGUGUGCACACACUGAGGAAAGGCCAUGUGAGAACACACCAAGAAGUUGGCAGACUGCAAUCCAGGAAGUGCUCUUACCAGAAACCUAAUCAGGCAAAGCCUGAUCUUGCACUUCUAGCUUCCAGAACUGUGAGAAAAUAAACUUCCAUGGUUUAAGCCACGCUCUCCCCCAAAAAGUAUGUAUGUUGCUAAGAUUCAUUCAUAUGAUAACUAUAGUUCGUUCAUUUAGACUGCUUUGUAAUAUGCUAUUUUGUGCCUAUGUCAAUUUAUUCAUCCACUCUAACAUUGAUGGACACUGGGUUGUUUCCACGUUUUUGCUAUUUUACUAUUCCAAAAUCCUAAUGUUGAGCUUGAAAUGUAUUAAAAUUUUGGAUUAAUAUCAUAUCCUUCAAAUCUGUUCAUUGUAUAAGUAUUGAACACUGAAGUAUGAUUGUUUUGCAGUCUCACCAACAGUACGGUGAGAGGCUCACUUUUAUUUUUCUUCCAAGUUUAUUUUUCAAGUUUUUAUUUAAAUUCUGGUUAGUUAGCAUACAGUGUAACGUUAGUUUCAGGUGUAGGAUUUUAGUGCUUCAUCACUUACAUGGAACACCCAGUGCUCAUCCUCACAUGUGUACUUCUCAAUACCCACUACCCACUAACCUAUUUUACCCAUUACCCCCUCUGCCACUCUCCCCUCCAGCAACCUUCAGCGCGUUCUGUACAGUUGAGUCUUUUAUGGUUUGCUUUUUUUUUUAAACCUCUAUUUCAUCUGCUGUUUCUUAAAUUCCACAUAUGACUAAAAUCAUACAGUAUUUAUCUUUUAUUUCAUAUAGAGGGUCACUUUUAAAAUACUAUCAUCUGCAUUUUUCUUUUUUUAAGAUUUUUAUUUAUUUAUUCAUGAGAGACACAGGCAGAGGGAGAAGCAGGGUCCCUGCAAGGAGCCCGAUGUGGGACUCGAUCCCAGGACCCCGGGAUCACGACCUGAGCCAAAGGCAGAUGCUCAACCACCGAGCCACCCAGGCGCCCCUAUCAUCUGCAUUUUUCAUGGAGAAAGAUUUAAAUGACCUGUUUUCAAAACCAUGCAAUAAACGCUUUUAUUUUAAGUAAAUGUCCUCUUGGUUUUUCUUCUAUUUAUGUAAGGAUAUUGAAAGAAAAGGGUCGAGAAAACAAAAUCAAAAGUUGGAAAACUUUAGGCUCGUGUGGAUGCAAAUUUGCACCCGCGGACGAGGCGAUCCCAGGCAGGACCGGGCGGCUCCAGCAAGCAAUUCCCAGAGCCCAAGCGCAGAAACCACCCCCACCCCCAGCUCUGUUUCCCGCCCUAAAACUUUAUCGCGAGUCUUGGGAUAAACUUUGUGGUGAUUGCUUGGGAACUAAAUUCUCGCGAGAGGUAGGUAGUUGCUACAGUUACGCCUAAGGCGUUUGCGGCUUCCUCAGGUAAGACGUCGGUAUCGCUGCUCAGGGAACCCUCUGCUCCCGGACUCCCCGCCGUGGCUCUGCGACCGCGCCCGUUACCUCAGUCUCUUCAGCUAGGCCGCGUCCCAGCGCAGUGCACUGAGGUACAGACCUAAACGCCACCCACCCCGCUGGACCUAAACGCUGGCUGCUGCGCCGGCCCAUCCCAGGCCUCCCACCUGAGGCCGGGCUUAGAGCCCCUUCUCGCUUUGCCCCAGAUACCCGGCAGUAGCUCCCUACCGCGCCCCUGUCCCCAGACGACACCCGCCCAUCCCAUCGUAUCCGUCGUCAAACCUGUUUCCGGUGUGACUGUUCCCUUGCAUUUUCUUUCGUCUUAAAGAUUUUGCUUUUAAGUAAUCGCUACACGCAACGUGGGUCUUGAACUCACAACCCCGAGAGCAAGAGUCUCAUGCUCCACCCACUGAGCCAGCCAGGUGCCCCUCCCUUGCAUUUUCUUAUGAGCAAUAUGACAAGGAAUGGGUGCUUCUUGGGAGCAACAAGAGCCCGCCCCCGCCGCCUGGACCUUUUUAAACAUUUUUUAAAUUGGAGUUCAAUUUGCCAACAUAUAGCAUAUAACCCAGUGCUCAUCCCGCCAAGGGCCCCCCUCAGUGCCCGUCACCCAGUCACCUCGCCCCCCGCCCACCUCCCGUUCCACUACCCCUUGUUCAUUUCCUAGAGUUAGGUGUCUCUCAUGUUUUGUCACACACACUGAAAUUUUCACUCAUUUUCUCUCCCUUUAUUCCCUUUCACUAAUUUUUAUAUUCCCCAAAUGAAUGAGACCAUAUAAUAUUUGUCCUUUUCCGAUUGACCUAUUUCAUCAUAAUACCCUCCAGGUCCAUCCACGCAGAAGCAAAUGGUGGGUAUUCGUCGUUUCUAAUGGCUAAUAUUCCCUUGUAUACAUAGACCACAUCUUCUGUAUCCAUCAUCUUUUGAUGGACACCGAGGCUCCUUCCACAGUUUGGCUAUUGUGGACAUCGCUGCUAGAAACAUUGGGGUGCAGGUGUCCCGGCGUUUCACUGCAUAUGUAUCUUUGGGGUAAAUCCCCAGCAGUGCAAUUGCUGGGUCAUACUGCCGCCCUGACCUUAAUGCAACUAGCCAGAUUUCUUGCAUUCAUUAUGCAGUAAAUAUCCUGCUAAGACAAGGCAUAGUGCCAGGCCCUCAGAGACUGUAAAAAUGAAUGAGAGAUUACUUGUCUUGAAGGGAGUAAUUGAACUUUUAGGAAAAGCAGUGCACAUUAAUAAUAUCAUUUGUAUUGUACUUCAUAGCUUAAGCAGUUUUACUAUUUUAGUGGAUAUUCACAACAAAUGUGAAAAUCAGAAGUUAUAUUAUCUCUUUUAUAGAAGGUGAAACAGGCUCUGAGAAAUUAGGCUAGUGAAGGCCUAAUUCAUGUGGUACUAAUGAAAAUGAGAGUAAUGUAAAAAGGUCGUUUCUAAUGUGAAUUAAAAAAAUUUUUUUAAUUUAUUUAAAUUCAAUUUGCCAAUAUAUACUAUAACACCUAGUGCUCAUCUCAUCACGUGUCCUCCUUAAUCUAAUGUGAAUUUGAUAAGAAAAUUGUCAGGGUCACUUAGAUCCUGAAUGAGCCUGAAGACAUGGUGUUGAACAAGUGAUCUGAGAUGUUUAGAUGACUUCAAGUGAGGGAAUAGCUGAGAAGAGAUAGAAUAAUUUUUUAAAGAUUUUAUUUAUUUAUUCAUGAGAGACAGAGAGAGAGAAGCAGAGACAUAGGCAGAGGGAGAAGCAGGUUCCAUGCAGGGACCCCAAUGUGGGACUCGAUCCCAGGACUCCGGGAUCAUGCCCUGGGCCAAAGGCAGACGCUCAACCCCUGAGCCACCCGGGCAUCACAAGACAAUAAUUAUAAAGCCUGUGAACAGCAAAGUAUCACCUUUUUUGUACCACCAGUCCUAGACAUAGCAUAGUGUGUCCUCAGUAAACGUUUGAAUUGCAUUAAGUUCCACUUUGAAUUGAGGUAGAAAAUCUUUCUUACACCAAUUUAUUUUUGAAAUUAUGUCCUUAGUGUUGUAAAAUAACUAGAAAAUAUCUCAGACUAAAUUGGACAUAUGUCAGAACUUUUACUGAUGAACUAACCAUUAUUCCAUGUGGCUGUUUUUUUCCUGUUAGAUAUUUUUAUAAAAGAGAUUAAGUCAUCUUUGAGGGGAGAUUUGCACAUUAAAAAAAAAAAAAAAAAAAA
Molecule: long non-coding RNA, 6547 nt
Filed under: Canis lupus familiaris (dog)
Lineage: Eukaryota; Metazoa; Chordata; Mammalia; Carnivora; Canidae
Description: lncRNA (ENSCAFG00000054636.1)
Source: RNAcentral